AACGCACCUUGCGCUCCUUGGUAUUCCGAGGAGCAUGCCUGUUUGAGUGUCAUGGAAUUCUCAACUUAUAAAUCCUUGUGAUCUAUAAGCUUGGACUUGGAGGCUUGCUGGCCCUCGUUGGUCGGCUCCUCUUGAAUGCAUUAGCUCGAUUCCGUACGGAUCGGCUCUCAGUGUGAUAAUUGUCUACGCUGUGACCGUGAAGUGUUUUGGCGAGCUUCUAAUCGUCCAUUAGGACAACUUUUUAACAUCUGACCUCAAAUCAGGUAGGACUACCCGCUGAACUUAA
This 286-nucleotide unclassified non-coding RNA is filed under the name uncultured Trametes. RNAcentral's name for it is "partial contains 5.8S ribosomal RNA, internal transcribed spacer 2, and large subunit ribosomal RNA". The stretch from base 1 to 52 matches the Rfam family "5.8S ribosomal RNA", at positions 103 to 154 of the family's 154-position model. The record is from RNAcentral. Lineage: Eukaryota; Fungi; Basidiomycota; Agaricomycetes; Polyporales; Polyporaceae.